GAUGAACGCUAGCGGCAGGCUUAACACAUGCAAGUCGAGGGGCAGCGGGAUGUAGCAAUACAUUGCCGGCGACCGGCGCAAGGGUGCGUAACGCGUGAGCAACAUGCCCGUCACAGGAGGAUAAACCAUGGAAACGUGGCCUAAUACUCCAUAGUAUGUAAAUGAGGCAUCUCAAUUACAUUAAAGCUUCGGUGGUGACGGAUUGGCUCGCGUGACAUUAGCUAGAUGGAGAGGUAACGGCUCACCAUGGCGACGAUGUCUAGGGGAACUGAGAGGUUAAUCCCCACACUGGUACUGAGACACGGACCAGACUCCGUACGGGAGCAGCAGUGAGAU
This 336-nucleotide ribosomal RNA is filed under the name uncultured bacterium. RNAcentral describes it as "bacterial SSU rRNA". It matches the Rfam family "Bacterial small subunit ribosomal RNA", at positions 28 to 360 of the family's 1533-position model. The record is from RNAcentral.